AGGCUCGCUGUACUCGCGCACCCACCAUGGCCUCCCGCAGCGCGGGCACCCUACUGACCGAGUUCAAUGCCGCCUACGUGCCCCCUGGACUCAUGCCCGGGUACCAGGGCCACGUCCCCACUGUGGCCUUCUCCUUUGGCGCUCCCUACGGCACCACCACCCUCAAGUACUUCCAGGACCACCGCAACAGAGCCAUGGAGAAGAGCCACACUCCCUUCAGCCAAGGCGGCCAUUUCCCCACCAUCUUCUCCACCAACCCCAACCUCCUGCUGAUGGAGCGCGCCAGCACCCGGGACCGCUGGCUGCACAAGCCCAGCUACACUCGCUUCAACCUGGACAGCCAUCGCUCCACAGAGCUUACGAAUUUCUACCAGAUGGUCCAGCAGCAUCGGAAGUACUAUCAAGACAAGACGGGCACAGUGCCUCGAGUCCCCUACUUUGCGAUGCCCGUGAGGGAGCCGGAACGGUACCCCCUCCCCACCGUCCUGUGAGUGCCUGCCCUCCCUUCAUCUACGCAGUCAAGAAACGCACCCAUGGGGCACCUGCUCUCGGCCAGGCAUGCACAGCACACAGACUGAGAAAUGAGUUGAGGAUCUUGCCCUAAAACGUGCAGUGCAGAGAGUGAUGGUUACAGAGCAAGGGGGUCAGGGCAUUGGCAGCCUCAGGGGGGAUGGUGGUAGCCUGAAUGGGCGAAUCAGGAAGAGUGCUUUCCCGGCCAGAUGCACUGGGAGUUUGGGAGAAGCUCCGUAAGCUUAGUGGGCCUGAAUCUGCGGACUGAUGCCCCGCCUGCAAAGGCAGCCUGGCAGCUACACUAGUCCUAACGUGGGCGCCGAUGCAGAGCGCAGUAAGGAGCUGCUGCCCUCUGGUGGAUACAGAGGGCACUACACCGAGCAGGAAUCUCCCCCGGUCCCGUUCACAUUUGGAAAAUGUUCUCCUAAGGACUUUCUGUCCAUCUAACUAAAUAGGAAAGUUCCUUGCCUCCUGCCCCUCUCUGCUUUUAUCUAGGAGAGCUCCUUUCUCCAGGGAAGGCCCACUCUGCCCUGAAAGAUGACUUGGGUACUGUGGUUUCUGUGCUCUCUCCUUCCUGAAGCGCAGGCAGGGGGAUCAUUGGCUCACACGAGGUGUCCUGGAGUGGGGUAGGGUGGUGGGUGGUGCCUGGCCUGGGAGGUCAGUGGAUAGAGCUUGGGAUUUAGCUCCAUGCCAACCACUCCCGGCUUGCCUCAGAGUCCUAAGAUUCACCAUCAUCCUUACUGAUAAAACAGCAUCUGUUUUCAUAAGUUUAAUGGUUUUUAAAGAAACAGGCUUCACUGCAUCUAAAAGUUCCUUUUUGCAAGUCAGACAGGAUCAUUUUACAAAAAAGGGAACGUGAGGCUCAUUGAUCGCCUGGGGAACUUGUGCUGCGUGGCCUGGAUGGUUGGAGGCAGAGCUUGGAAAGGAAGCAGCAUCUCCCAUCACCACCUCUAGGACUCGGGGGCUCUCUCUAAUCUUGGAAUGGCUCUGAGCCAGUCCAUCCCUAGAGUAUAGUGGGACUCUCCUGGGGACAGGUAUCCUCUUGAGAUGGCUCUGGCCAGGAUCUGCCCCCCAUCCCCAUCACUGUGGGGAGAGCGGGACAUCUCAACUCUGUUCCUUCUUCAGGUUGCCUGGCCACUUGCACUGCUGCUGACAGUUUCACAACGAACGCAAAGGGCCAACCAGGUGGUUGGGAGAAGAGGGCCUCCUCUGUGCCCAAAGAAGAAGUGGCACCUUUUAAGACUAGCCCCCGAGAACCUGAAGACCUACCAGACCUUCCCAUCAGGGAAGAGGGUCUCUCCACAGGAGCGGAAAAAGAGAGACUGCUACUUUGAGUUCAGAGCAUGAGACUUUUAGUUCAGAGCAGAGCCUGAUGCCUGAGAUCCUGGGUCGUGACCAGCCUGGCUUGCUUGGAAUAAAAUCUUUAGCCAUGA
RNA transcript from Homo sapiens (human), 1943 nucleotides. It is a transcript of the gene named ciliary microtubule inner protein 2C, with no coding region annotated. Lineage: Eukaryota; Metazoa; Chordata; Mammalia; Primates; Hominidae. The record is from RefSeq and is marked validated. The transcript has 4 exons.